Molecule: small nuclear RNA, 102 nt
Organism: Oryctolagus cuniculus (rabbit)
Lineage: Eukaryota; Metazoa; Chordata; Mammalia; Lagomorpha; Leporidae
Source: Ensembl
UGCUGACUUUACCAGCGUGACACUGAAAUCAGAAGGAUACAGAGAUCAGCAAGGCCUCUGUGCAAGGGUGACAUGCAAAUUCCUGAAGCACUCCAUAUUUUC